ACGACCACGUCACGUUGAAACAUCGGUUCCCGUACGAUCACAGAAGGUAAGCAGAGUUGAGCCUGGUCAGUACCUAGAUGGGUGACGGCUUUCGAAUACUA
Molecule: non-coding RNA, 101 nt
Organism: Acanthosepion pharaonis
Lineage: Eukaryota; Metazoa; Mollusca; Cephalopoda; Sepiida; Sepiidae
Source: the annotation of a GenBank genome assembly